Leopardus geoffroyi (Geoffroy's cat) is the source of this 2548-nucleotide long non-coding RNA. RefSeq lists it as uncharacterized. The transcript has 3 exons. The record is from RefSeq and is a predicted model, not a curated record. Lineage: Eukaryota; Metazoa; Chordata; Mammalia; Carnivora; Felidae.
ACUCCUUCCUGCAGUGUCCUGCCUAGGAAAAAGAUGGGAUUGAGAGUUACCAAUACUGUAAUUAGUGCUAGUGAUUUACUAGCUAUGUAAAUCUCUGUGACUCCCUAGUUGUGUAACUGGGCACAUCAUUGCAUCUUUGGAGCCUGUGUUUCCUCAUCAGAAAAUGGAGAAAUAGGGCUAGAAGAUAUGUGCAGACAUUUCAGUUUUCCAGCCAAACCCUUUAUUGUCACCUAAGGGAUAGUUCUCAGAGCAUGGCUGAGUCAGGGCACUUUUCAUUUUUCUUCAUGUUAGUUUCCCUGUGAUAAACAUGGAGAAUGGGACUAUAAAAGUGGUUCUUAAUGAGCAAGACGUGUCAAAAUUACUUGGGAAACUUUUUAAAAACGUACAUACCCUUGUCCUACCCCAGACCUACUAAUUGAGUGGCACAGAUCUUAAUAAGCUUGGAUACCCAAAUACCCAAUUACAUAAGACCUAGAAAUGUCAUCUGCAGGGCCUGAGCCGAUGCUUGAUUACUCAAUAGGCAAUAAUCAUAUAUAUGGGUCACAUGCAAAGCAGGGGCAUGUCCCCCAAUGCUGGUUAUUCUCUGUCCUCUCACUACCCAGUUGCAUUCUCGGCCCUUCUCUACCCUACCCCUGGAAACUGACCUCUAUGAACUGUAUUUCCAGGUCUCACUUGCCCUCUGGCUUCUGACUGAGCUUGGCUCAUGAGAGUCAGAGGCAGAUCUGAAGGUGGAAGGAAAGUGUGGGUGGGGUUCCCCCUCACCAGCUUGCUGGGCUGAGCUGAAGUUCUGGCAAUGGCUGUGCUUCUCCAUGGCUACACCUCCAGGCUCCUGCGCUGGACCUCAGACUUAGGGAUGGCAACCUCUCCCUGCUGUUGCUGGUCUUUAGGUCACGUCAUGCAGCUGGUAAAGUCUACACUGACAUCCAAGGCGCCUUCAGGACCUGCAGCCCAGCCCCACCUUGUGUAUAUGACUGGAAUGCAUGGAACUGGAUAGGAGCUCACCAAGUAAAGAGAGAAAACCUCAAGCUAUAGUCAUUGGCCCCAGUGCAGGUGUCUAAAGGCCCAGGCUCCAUUCCGUGCUUAGCAAGUCAACUAACCCCUGUGAAAAUCCAUGUAAUACCUGUCUGUGGGAAAGAAGAAGAAGGAGAAGGAGAAGAAGAAGUAAAACGUACACAGUGCACAGUAAGUUUCCUUCCCAUCCUUCACCCCCUGCCUCCCUCCCCAGGGACAACCAUUGUGGAUGGUUUCUUGGAUAUCCUUACAAAAUGUUCAAUGAAUUUAUAAAUAGGUCUCCUCCCUCCCUUCUCCGUUACACACAAACUGGAAAAACUAUGUAUGAUGAUGUUCAUCUUGCUUUAUUCACUUGGCAGAAUAUCCUGGAAUUCUUUCCUCAUCAGUGUAUGUGUGCUGCUCACCCACAGAUGCAUAUACCACAGAUCUACACCAUUCAUUAAAUGGCUGCAUGGUAUCCCAUUACCUGGAUAUGUUACCACGUGUUAAUCAGUCCCCAUAGGGUAGAUAUUUAGGCUGUACUAGGUUUUGGCUAGUACAACAAUGAAUGUCUGCGUAUGAACAAAGCUGUUUGAUAAAUCCCUAAGAAAGAGCUAAAUCACUGGCUAAAGGCAGCAUGCAUUUUUGAUUUUGAUAUUAAUCCAAAGAUGAUGCAUCAGUCUCCACUCACAUAGUAUUUCCUCACACUUUCACAACACUGAGUGUUACUAAUCCUUUUGAUAUUUUUAUUUUUGCCAAUUUGAGAGGUAGGAAACAUCUCAUUAGGUUUACUCAUUUAAUUAUGAAUGGGAUUCAGCCUCUUCUCACGUUUAUUAGUCAUGCAUAAGCUGUUCUUUCUGUGACCUGCCUGUUUCUUCUUUUGUGGUUUGAUUUGAGAUCCUUGGCAGUCACAAGGCCCUUCCCUAGACCUGCUCUGCACACACCUGUAGUCCCUCCCCCUGUCCUGCUCGGUUCUCUACUGCCGCCUAGUGACAGGGGUUGGAUUUAGCACAGUUCCUCGCAGAUGCUCUAGUUGCAGGCUCCACGCUGGGGGUUUAACUCCCAGUUGGAAUCAUGCCCUUAGUUCCCAAAUAAAAAAAUCAGGACCUCUAGUUAAAUAUGAAUUUCAUAUAAACGACCAAUAACUUUUUGGUUGGUACCUACUUAUUGCUAAAAACUAUGCAUGGUUUAUCUGAAAUCCAAAUUUAACUAGGUGUCAGGUAAUUUAUCAGGCAACCCUAUUCUAAGGCCUCCCGCUAAAUCUGGGUCCCCAUCGUCACCACGCCUUACCUCCUUUAUUCUCAGCAAGUUCUACUAUGCCACAUUCCAACCUGGCAGUUUUCGAAACUAUGGUUGCAGGUGAUACAUAAAUCACUGUGGUUAAGACCUGGGCUCUGGAUUUGAAUCCUGACUCCGGCCACUUACAAGGUGUGAAAUCUGGUGAAAGUAACAUCUUCUCUGGAGCUCAGGUUUCCUCAUCAAGAGAAUAAUAAUGUUUUCCUCAUUGGGUUGCUUUGAUGAUUUCUGACAUUAAAGCUACCAUUUAUUAAGCACUUUA